ACGAACGCUGGCGGCGUGCCUAAUACAUGCAAGUCGAGCGGAAUGAUGAAGAAGCUUGCUUCUUCUGAUUUUAGCGGCGGACGGGUGAGUAACACGUGGGCAACCUACCUUGUAGAUUGGGAUAACUCCGGGAAACCGGGGCUAAUACCGAAUAAUCCAUUUUGCUUCAUGGCAAGAUGUUGAAAGACGGUUUCGGCUGUCACUACAAGAUGGGCCCGCGGCGCAUUAGCUAGUUGGUAGGGUAAUGGCCUACCAAGGCGACGAUGCGUAGCCGACCUGAGAGGGUGAUCGGCCACACUGGGACUGAGACACGGCCCAGACUCCUACGGGAGGCAGCAGUAGGGAAUCUUCCACAAUGGACGAAAGUCUGAUGGAGCAACGCCGCGUGAGUGAAGAAGGUUUUCGGAUCGUAAAACUCUGUUGUAAGGGAAGAACACGUACGAGAGUAACUGCUCGUACCUUGACGGUACCUUAUUAGAAAGCCACGGCUAACUACGUG
RNAcentral lists this ribosomal RNA (499 nucleotides) under uncultured bacterium. Its description in RNAcentral is "bacterial SSU rRNA". It matches the Rfam family "Bacterial small subunit ribosomal RNA", at positions 29 to 507 of the family's 1533-position model. The record is from RNAcentral.